GACGAACGCUGGCGGCGUGCUUAACACAUGCAAGUCGAACGGAAAGGCCCUGCUUUUGUUGGGUUCUCGAUUGGCGAACGGGUGAGUAACACGUGAGUAACCUGCCCUUGACUUUGGGAUAACUUCAGGAAACUGGGGCUAAUACCGGAUAGGAGCUCCUGCUGCAUGGUGGGGGUUGGAAAGUUUCGGCGGUUGGGGAUGUACUCGCGGCUUAUCAGCUUGUUGGUGGGGUAGUGGCUUAACAAGGCUUUGACGGGUAGCCGGCCUGAGAGGGUGAACGGCCAAAUUGGGACUGAGAUACGGCAGAGACUCCUACGGGAGGAAGCAGUGGGGAAUAUUGCACAAUGGGCGGAAGCCUGAUGCAGCAACGCCGCGUGCGGGAUGACGGCAUUCGGGUUGUAAAACGCUUUCGGCUGUGACGAAGCGUGAGUGACGGUAAUGGGUAAAGAAGCACCGGAUAACUACG
RNAcentral lists this ribosomal RNA (466 nucleotides) under uncultured bacterium. RNAcentral's name for it is "partial 16S ribosomal RNA". It matches the Rfam family "Bacterial small subunit ribosomal RNA", at positions 28 to 505 of the family's 1533-position model. The record is from RNAcentral.